Triticum urartu is the source of this 115-nucleotide non-coding RNA. NCBI's taxonomy places the organism in Eukaryota, Viridiplantae, Streptophyta, Magnoliopsida, Poales, Poaceae. The record is from Rfam.
GAUUUACUCGCUUCGUUCCGAAUUACUCGUCGCAGAAAUGAAUGUAUCUAGAUGUAUUUUAGUUCUAGAUACAUCUAUUUCUACGAUGAGUAAUUUGGAACAGAGGGAGUACUUG